Molecule: ribosomal RNA, 506 nt
Filed under: uncultured bacterium
Lineage: Bacteria
Description: partial 16S ribosomal RNA
Rfam family: Bacterial small subunit ribosomal RNA
Source: RNAcentral
AGUGAACGCUGGCGGUAGGCCUAACACAUGCAAGUCGAACGGCAGCACAGAGGAGCUUGCUCCUUGGGUGGCGAGUGGCGGACGGGUGAGGAAUACAUCGGAAUCUACUCUGUCGUGGGGGAUAACGUAGGGAAACUUACGCUAAUACCGCAUACGACCUACGGGUGAAAGCAGGGGAUCUUCGGACCUUGCGCGAUUGAAUGAGCCGAUGUCGGAUUAGCUAGUUGGCGGGGUAAAGGCCCACCAAGGGGACGAUCCGUAGCUGGUCUGAGAGGGUGAUCAGCCACACUGGAACUGAGACACGGUCCAGACUCCUACGGGAGGCAGCAGUGUGGAAUAUCGGACAAUGGGCGCAAGCCUGAUCCAGCCAUACCGCGUGGGUGAAGAAGGCCUUCGGGUUGUAAAGCCCUUUUGUUGGGAAAGAAAUCCAUCUGGUUAAUACCCGGGUGGGAUGACGGUACCCAAAGAAUAAGCACCGGCUAACUUCGUGCCAGCCGCCGCAGUAA